ACCAGGCGACGUCGCACAGAAAUAAAGCGAGAAGAUUCUGUUGGCGUCGCUGCUCUGCUAACCGCGACGCCGCACAGCGCUAACUGGCUAAAGGCGCGGCGAAUCCUGCCACAUGUGUCUGGGUAUCAGCCACAGUAACCUCAGUGCCCUUCCACAACACCGUUUCCAUGGUUUCACCCAAAUACGAGCGAAGGACGAAGCAAAGCGGCACGUGGUUAUUGGCUUCAACAAAACAGGUGCGACGGGGUCCUCCAUCACGCUUAUGGGGGCAGAGUAUAGCUGAAAUGUCAGGGGUACCUGAGGUGGGACGUGAGCCUCGAUGAUGCCGAGUUGGGGGACAGCAGGCGGGCGAGCUAGAGAGCGAGCGGGCGGCUCGGCGGGCGGCUCGGCGGCGCAGACCGAACACUCGCGGAGGAGGCUGCGAUGGAGUGAGGCCAAGACACAAGUCGCUUCAAGCCGGAGCAGCCAAAGCAGGCAGCGAAUGGCACCCUGGAGCUUAUCUCACAGGAUAUCAUGCCCCCCCCCCACCCGUCUCUGAGCAGAAACAAAAACGGACUUUCAACCCCGACAUAAUCCAUCACGCUGCUACAGUCAAAGAGCGGAUGUUAAACGAAUCAAAGGCGGAGGAUGGCUGCGAGACAAAGAACGUUUCUUCAAGAAUUUUAUUACUUAAAAAAAAGUUAAAAUAAUUACAGAUCAGAAGGCAGCAGUAAAAAAAAAAAAAAAAAAACUAUACAGUAGGUUCUCUGUGGGGAGUGAAUAUAGCAGCAAUGGAGGGGAAUGUUUCCUGGGGGCUGGAUCUGCAUCCUUAUGCCCUGCAAUUCAAGGAGGUAGGGUACUGAGGGGGGGGGCUUCAGUCUCACAGGGCUGUGGAGACAGUCGGGGGUGUAUUUAGAGAUACUAUAUUAGCAGAGCAAAUUUUAUGCUCUGUGUGUGUGUGUGUGUGCGCAUGAAAGUAUCAUAUGCUAUUACUUACUGAUCAUUUUCCCCUCAUCAGAGUAGCUGAGCAACAACACAGGAUACAACAGCCAGGAGAUGAGAAUGAGCUUUAAUCUGAAUGACGUGAGCAUCAGCCCCCGGAGGGACAGGAGCCAGAGCGAGGCCCGUAAUAUUAACCCCGCUCUCAGAGCGCCGGCCGCAUGCCGUCCCGCACGGACGCGGGACCUUCUGGGUGCUUCAUCGGCGCCAAGCGGCACGCCGUAAAAGCAGCUCUCUCACUCAGUGGGCAUGGGAAUGAGAGCGGCUUGCAGCUGGGGAAGCAGCGGCCCUUAUCAGGCGCGGAGAGAUUACGGGAAGGAGAAGAGGGUGUGCAUGUGCGUGGUGGGGGCUCUGCAUGUGAUGGCGUUCUCGCGUGCCACGGUGCCCGGCCGCUGACUCAUGCCAGGUCACGCAGAGCACUUGUGUUUGGGCAGCGCCUGUCUCACGCCACCCCUUGAAGAAAUCGAGGCUGAGAACAUUUCGGAGCUCCCCUGCAUCAAAGGAUCACCGUGCUUGGGGUUUGGAGAGACGGGCAGGUGCCAUCCAUAGCGGUCCAACAAAAGAACCCAGGAAUCCUCCUGAGUGCCCCCUUUCGCCUGCCGGCUGCCCUGCCACUCUCCAUGUCCUUCACGGCAUCAGCAAAAGGCCCGCCUCUUCCUUCUGGGCCUCCUCAAGAACAGGUUCCCCGUCCAACGAAAGAGAGAAGAUACCGGAGCCCGGCAACGCCCCUACAUUAAAAGCCGGCCUGUUGACGGCAGCAGGCCGUCCAGCAGGUCGUGGCCGCUCACAUCGUGGAUGCCGAGGAGGAUCAGGAAGGCCUGCAAUUGCAUAAUCCAGCGCUCCCUUCCACUGGCUGCCAACUGAUAUAUAUAUUUUAUGCAUCUAUUUUAGAUUAACAGAAGAAUAUUUAUGAAUACUCCCUGCCCUCUCCACUGCCACUCAUACGUGGAUUACUGUCAGGACUGGCUCUCAUGGGCGUCCUCGGGAUCCGCCCCCCCCAUCUAACAGCAUCCAGAUUGCCGUGAUGAUUGCUUACGGGAAACGCAGGCAUCGACACAGGUGCUACAAGGAGACCGGCUGAUGCAGAGUCCGGUUCAUAACCGAGGACAGUGGGGACAGCAAUCCCUCCUCAGGAAAUAGGCAACGCGGGGGCCCGCCGGAAUUCUGCUGCCCCCCGCCCCCACUCGGGCCCUGGCUCAUUUCCUGGCCCUAAAAAUCCAUAAAAAGCAGGAAAGCGGAAGGGCCGGAGAAAAGAGCGACAGAGCAGCCGCGAUCACCGCUGUCUGGACAGCGAUUUGCGUGCGAUUGUAAUGAAUGGAAGUGGAAAUCGCAUUAUUUCAACUGAAAGCACUCAGGAGAGCCACAGUCGGCAGGAUCACGACGGCGUGCUGGGGAAAGUCUGCGGCGGCACUAUUUACAUUAAAUGGCAGGACGAAGGUCACAAGCUGCCUUAAAUGAUUUUUUACAAAUAUAUAUCAAAUUAAAUGUUAUUGAUGCCGACCGGCACUGCGCUGUACAAAUGUAAUAUGAAGCUUAUAAACAUGCACCGACUCCUGUACACAUCCUAAACCACACUCCGAUUUAAGCGCGACCGUUUAAAAAAAGUUGCACCUUUACUAAAGGCACAGGCGGUUAAAUAAACAGAAGAUGCAUCCCGACGCUUACUU
Molecule: long non-coding RNA, 2645 nt
Organism: Brienomyrus brachyistius
Lineage: Eukaryota; Metazoa; Chordata; Actinopteri; Osteoglossiformes; Mormyridae
Exons: 3
Source: RefSeq, a predicted model, not a curated record